RNAcentral lists this ribosomal RNA (271 nucleotides) under uncultured bacterium. Its description in RNAcentral is "partial 16S ribosomal RNA". It matches the Rfam family "Bacterial small subunit ribosomal RNA", at positions 524 to 794 of the family's 1533-position model. The record is from RNAcentral.
UACAGAGGUGGCAAGCGUUGUUCGGAAUUACUGGGCGUAAAGGGCGCGUAGGCGGCCUUGUAAGUCUCGUGUGAAAGCCCUCGGCUUAACUGAGGAUCUGCACGGGAUACUGUAGGGCUCGAGUUCGGGAGAGGAAAGCGGAAUUCCGGGUGUAGCGGUGAAAUGCGUAGAUAUCCGGAGGAACACCAGUGGCGAAGGCGGCUUUCUGGACCGACACUGACGCUGAGGUACGAAAGCGUGGGGAGCAAACAGGAUUAGAUACCCCAGUAGU